AUUUGGUGUGRAUUGCAGGACACAUUGAGCACUGAUUUUUCGAACGCACAUUGCGGCCUCGGGUCCUGCCCGGGGCCUCGCCUGUCUGAGGGUCGGAUAAGAUUUGCAAAGGAAAAAAAUUUAUUUUUUUUCCAAUUGGCCGCUUCGGGUUACUCUUAACGAGUUUCUCGUCGGUUCAAGUAUCAAUAGGAUCCUCCCCGGUCGAGAAAGCAUCGCCCUAGUGCAUGCUCGUCGCUCGGAGAAGACGGACAAACGUUUCUCCACGAAGACGAGACUGGCUCGAUGCUGAUGUGACCAUAAUAGGGGAUUUCAAUUCCUACAAAGACUUUUAUGUCUUUAUAAAUAAAUACUUUUGACGACCUCAGAUCAGACGAAAUGACCCGCURAAUUUAAGCAUAUC
This 400-nucleotide ribosomal RNA is filed under the name Acusilas coccineus. RNAcentral's name for it is "eukaryotic LSU rRNA". Lineage: Eukaryota; Metazoa; Arthropoda; Arachnida; Araneae; Araneidae. The record is from RNAcentral.